RNAcentral lists this ribosomal RNA (253 nucleotides) under uncultured bacterium. RNAcentral describes it as "partial 16S ribosomal RNA". It matches the Rfam family "Bacterial small subunit ribosomal RNA", at positions 524 to 776 of the family's 1533-position model. The record is from RNAcentral.
AACGUAGGAGGCGAGCGUUAUCCGGAUUUACUGGGCGUAAAGGGCACGCAGGCGGCCGGAUGAGUCGGACGUGAAAGCUCCUGGCUUAACUGGGAGAGGUCGUUCGAUACUGUUCGGCUUGAGGUAGGGAGAGGGGUGCGGAAUUCCCGGUGUAGUGGUGGAAUGCGUAGAUAUCGGGAGGAACACCAGUGGCGAAAGCGGCACCCUGGCCCACACCUGACGCUGAGGUGCGAAAGCGUGGGUAGCAAACAGG